Long non-coding RNA from Sander lucioperca (pikeperch), 839 nucleotides. RefSeq lists it as uncharacterized. The transcript has 3 exons. NCBI's taxonomy places the organism in Eukaryota, Metazoa, Chordata, Actinopteri, Perciformes, Percidae. The record is from RefSeq and is a predicted model, not a curated record.
UACAACUUCACACAGUAAAGCAAACGUUUUUCAAAAUAAAAGUACUCUGGUAAAGUCAGGAAUCAUUUUUUAUGAAAUUCUGUAACUUCUGAAGUUAAAGUUGUGACUCAGUUUUGGCUACAGCUACGCCGACGACCGUUAAAAUUAGGCACCAAAAGGACUUUUAGGGAAAAAGAUAAAUAAUAAACUUUUAUCAUCCAGAAGGAAAUUCGUCUUGGGGCAAACAGUGCCGGCAACAGCUACACACAAACACAAUCAUAACUCAAAUAAUUCAGAAUGUAACAGACAACGAUGUACUUUAGGACAGAAAAAUACAAGAAGUUUAGGAACAAGAUCCCGAGGAACGAACACACGUUUCCUGGGUGAAAAUACUAAAAAUAUGAUUAUAUUAGCCCAGAUUUAGUGUAAUAUAUGAUUAUAUUAGCCCAGAUUUAGCGUAAUAUAUGAUUAUAUUAGCCCAGAUUUAGCGUAAUAUAUGAUUAUAUUAGCCCAGAUUUAGCGUAAUAUAUGAUUAUAUUAGCCCAGAUUUAGUGUAAUAUAUGAUUAUAUUAGCCCAGAUUUAGCGUAAUAUAUGAUUAUAUUAGCCCAGAUUUAGCGUAAUAUAUGAUUAUAUUAGCCCAGAUUUAGCGUAAUAUAUGAUUAUAUUAGCCCAGAUUUAGCGUAAUAUAUGAUUAUAUUAGCCCAGAUUUAGUGUAAUAUAUGAUUAUAUUAGCCCAGAUUUAGUGUAAUAUAUGAUUAUAUUAGCCCAGAUUUAGCGUAAUAUAUGAUUAUAUUAGCCCAGAUUUAGUGUAAUAUAUGAUUAUAUUAGCCCAGAUUUAGUAUAAUAAAUUAUUACAUUA